UUUGUUGGUCCCAGAAGCUCAGCAACGAAAGCAGUAUUAACCAGAAAUUCUCAGCCCAAUUGAAAUUACAUUUCCGUUUGGUGCAAAAGGCAGUCCUGCCAUCAAGGGAGUAAUAUCAAGAGGGCCAGGGCACAAAAGAGAUGCGCAAGAAGAUGAGGAAGGAUGUGGCUCAGCAGGCUUCCAGUGGGAAGGAAAGAUAAGAGAUGAAGCACCACCUGGAUUGGCUGUGCAUCACAUCUAAUCUGGCCCUCAGAACAGGAUUCCCAGCAUCUGCUACAGUGAAACCCUGCGCUGGUGUCGGUGUUUCCUGUGGUGUCACAUUGGGAGCCGGUGGCAGUGGAGCAGACAGAGCAGUAGGUAUCUCAGGAAUGGGCGCUGCUGCGGG
Hemicordylus capensis (graceful crag lizard) is the source of this 385-nucleotide long non-coding RNA. RefSeq lists it as uncharacterized. The transcript is spliced from 3 exons. The record is from RefSeq and is a predicted model, not a curated record. Lineage: Eukaryota; Metazoa; Chordata; Lepidosauria; Squamata; Cordylidae.